AGGGACUAUCGGCUCAAGCCGAUGGAAGUUUGAGGCAAUAACAGGUUGGCACACAGGCCUGUAAAAGUAGGUUUUGACCUGCUAGUCUAGCACCUAAUCUCCGUGAAGAAGUCUUCUUCUACCGGGCGGAGAGAUGCGAAAGCAUUCGGUGUGGGCAACACUACCUGGAACAGGGGACGCUGGAGGCCUUUGGGUACUUGGCCGACCCUGUGGCGAGCUCGAGUAACGUUGAGCCGUCGCAACGCGCGC
RNAcentral lists this ribosomal RNA (249 nucleotides) under Leotiomycetes sp. RNAcentral's name for it is "partial small subunit ribosomal RNA". Lineage: Eukaryota; Fungi; Ascomycota; Leotiomycetes. The record is from RNAcentral.